This is a long non-coding RNA of Micropterus dolomieu (smallmouth bass), 312 nucleotides long. RefSeq lists it as uncharacterized. The transcript is spliced from 2 exons. The record is from RefSeq and is a predicted model, not a curated record. NCBI's taxonomy places the organism in Eukaryota, Metazoa, Chordata, Actinopteri, Centrarchiformes, Centrarchidae.
CAACACCGUCACGACCUCCCUGCAGCUUUCACCCACCCCGAGCUGCAGCUCCGAAAGCAAGCCAGUCCGCUCGGCUAACGCUGGUACUUACCUGGUCAGGGCCGCCGCUGGAGCCGCACGAUUAGCUUUGUGCAAAAAAAGAUGAGCAAAUGUUCCCAUCACAUACUGGCGACACAAAACAUCCGGCUGGUUUGCAGCGUGACCCAGCCAAACUGCGUCAAGUUAAAAAGUAUGCCAGAGUGGGAAAGCCAGAUUCCAGAACUAUGUUGUGUUUAUUGAAUCAACACAUCUUGAAAGAUUCUUCUUUGCAAA